UACGUAGGGGGCAAGCGUUGUCCGGAUUUAUUGGGCGUAAAGAGCGUGUAGGCGGCCAUACAGGUCCGUUGUGAAAACUGGAGGCUUAACCUCCAGACGUCGAUGGAAACCGUAUGGCUAGAGUCCGGAAGAGGAGAGUGGAAUUCCUGGUGUAGCGGUGAAAUGCGCAGAUAUCAGGAAGAACACCCGUGGCGAAGGCGGAUCUCUGGGCCUUACCUGACGCUGAGGCGCGAAAGCUAGGGGAGCGAACAGG
RNAcentral lists this ribosomal RNA (253 nucleotides) under uncultured bacterium. Its description in RNAcentral is "partial 16S ribosomal RNA". It matches the Rfam family "Bacterial small subunit ribosomal RNA", at positions 524 to 776 of the family's 1533-position model. The record is from RNAcentral.